UCCCCGUUAGUGGCAAUGGCAAACACACUUCUCUCGUAAAGAAGAAAUGCCGGUUCGAUUCCGGCACGGGGAUCUA
RNAcentral lists this transfer RNA (76 nucleotides) under Streptomyces sp. JV178. RNAcentral's name for it is "tRNA-Thr". It matches the Rfam family "tRNA". Rfam says of the family: Transfer RNA (tRNA) molecules are approximately 80 nucleotides in length. The record is from RNAcentral. Lineage: Bacteria; Bacillati; Actinomycetota; Actinomycetes; Kitasatosporales; Streptomycetaceae.